This 485-nucleotide ribosomal RNA is filed under the name uncultured bacterium. RNAcentral describes it as "partial 16S ribosomal RNA". It matches the Rfam family "Bacterial small subunit ribosomal RNA", at positions 30 to 506 of the family's 1533-position model. The record is from RNAcentral.
AUUGAACGCUGGCGGCAUGCCUUACACAUGCAAGUCGAACGGCAGCACGGGUGCUUGCACCUGGUGGCGAGUGGCGAACGGGUGAGUAAUACAUCGGAACAUGUCCUGUAGUGGGGGAUAGCCCGGCGAAAGCCGGAUUAAUACCGCAUACGAUCUACGGAUGAAAGCGGGGGACCUUCGGGCCUCGCGCUAUAGGGUUGGCCGAUGGCUGAUUAGCUAGUUGGUGGGGUAAAGGCCUACCAAGGCGACGAUCAGUAGCUGGUCUGAGAGGACGACCAGCCACACUGGGACUGAGACACGGCCCAGACUCCUACGGGAGGCAGCAGUGGGGAAUUUUGGACAAUGGGCGAAAGCCUGAGCCAGCAAUGCCGCGUGUGUGAAGAAGGCCUUCGGGUUGUAAAGCACUUUUGUCCGGAAAGAAAUCCUUGGCUCUAAUACAGUCGGGGGAUGACGGUACCGGAAGAAUAAGCACCGGCUAACUACGU